UACGGAGGGUGCAAGCGUUAUCCGGAUUCACUGGGUUUAAAGGGUGUGUAGGCGGACUGUUAAGUCAGUGGUGAAAUCUCCGGGCUCAACCCGGAAACUGCCGUUGAUACUAUCAGUCUUGAAUUCUGUUGAGGUGGGCGGAAUACAUCAUGUAGCGGUGAAAUGCUUAGAUAUGAUGUAGAACACCGAUUGCGAAGGCAGCUCACUAAGCAGCGAUUGACGCUGAGGCACGAAAGCGUGGGGAUCAAACAGG
This 253-nucleotide non-coding RNA is filed under the name uncultured bacterium. Its description in RNAcentral is "partial 16S ribosomal RNA". It matches the Rfam family "Bacterial small subunit ribosomal RNA", at positions 524 to 776 of the family's 1533-position model. The record is from RNAcentral. RNAcentral also lists the same sequence under 1 other name.